Molecule: long non-coding RNA, 1006 nt
Filed under: Cricetulus griseus (Chinese hamster)
Lineage: Eukaryota; Metazoa; Chordata; Mammalia; Rodentia; Cricetidae
Description: lncRNA (ENSCGRG00015041169.1)
Source: RNAcentral
CCAUGCGUGUGCUGAAGCCUUCCUCCCUCCCCUAUGUGACAACAUGUCAAAAGUGGGAACAGUUAAAGCUUGAAUGAAGGACCUUAACAUAAAGAACUAAGGAUUAGGGCAUUUACCAGACGAGAUCCCAGAGGGCUUGCUGUCACCUUACCAUGUGAGGUCAAGAGGGUAGAAGGCAGCCAUGUGCAAUUCAGGCACCAUGCCCUCUAAGGGUGGUUCAGAAACCACCCCUGCUAAGCCUUGAUCUGGGACUUGAAGACUCCAGCACUGUAAGAAGGCACAUGUUAUUUUGCUUAAGGAGCAUGAACAUCAGGAAGUGAGGGACUCAGCCUUCAUGGGAGAAUCAGCAGUCUCAGCAGACUCAUCCUGUGGCUUCUCGCUUUGGUCUAUGCUACAAGACUGGUAGAAUCCCUACCAGACAGAGGCCCAGUGGCCAGCCCAGCCCAGCCCAGCCCAGCCCUGCGCCGAGCAGCGACUCAAACAUCUGAAGUUCCAUUGAAGGAAUGAGGAACUGAGGUGCAGGAAGCAAGUACAACACCUUGUCUGAGGGUAACAGAUCGAGGGAGAGGUAGAGUCCAUCCACCAGGUAAGAGUGGGCCGGAAGUCUGUGGUCAGGAAGGCUCCUCUAAGAAGGAAUCACAUGCAGUAACCAACCGGAAGGAGUGCUCCAGGCAAGAGCUAUGAGUGCUCUUCUGGGAAGUGGUGAACAUGAGGGAAGACCCCUAAGGAGAAAGCCAGGAGCCGGAUUUGGAAUAAUUAAAGAAAUCUUUUUUGUUGUUGUUUUGUUUUUUGUUUCCCAAGCCAGGGUUUUUCUGUGUAGCUCUGGAACUCACUCUGUAGACCAGGCUGGCCUCAAACUCACUGAGAUCUGCCUACCUCUGCCUCCUGAGUGCUGGGAUUAAAGGCAUGCGCCACCAACGCCCGGCUCAUGUAAUUCUGAUGGUUGGAAGAUUACCCCAAGUUCAGUGUGUGCCUUUCUGUCUCUCCCUUAUUCCCUCCCUCUCUC